GCCCAUGAUAGAUGGUUAAUUCAAACAAUUGGGUAAGGCUUGUAAUGUGGUUGCCAAAGAAACACGAUUACUGUUUCACCUUGCAGACACACAAGGCAAGUUCUAGGCAUCAAAUGCAAUGCAUAGAAUAACACCCAAACCUCACACACACAUGGCAUAUAACUUACUCAGGAUUGGAUUCAUCAAGACACUCUAGUCAAAGCAAUUACGAAAAUUUAAAAUCAUACAAUUUAAGGUACUUAUACAAGAGUCAUAAAUUGAGCCUAAGCGUCACAACCAAAGUACUCGCUAUUCUCAAGGCAUAACAAAAACAAGAGAUAUUACUUCAAUUCAAAACACAACACAAUGGAUCCUAUUCCUAAAAAAACUAACUACACUCAGUUCAAAUAAAAUCUUUGGAAAAGAACCGCAGUACAAAGAAAAAUCAAGGGGAAAUUGCUACACUACCUAAUAAAAGAAAAUGUUUUUU
Molecule: long non-coding RNA, 469 nt
Filed under: Nicotiana benthamiana
Lineage: Eukaryota; Viridiplantae; Streptophyta; Magnoliopsida; Solanales; Solanaceae
Description: long non-coding RNA (NBEN_LNC014608)
Source: RNAcentral